UACGUAGGUGGCAAGCGUUGUCCGGAAUUAUUGGGCGUAAAGCGCGCGCAGGCGGUCCUUCAAGUCUGAUGUGAAAGCCCACGGCUCAACCGUGGAGGGUCAUUGGAAACUGGGGGACUUGAGUGCAGAAGAGGAGAGCGGAAUUCCACGUGUAGCGGUGAAAUGCGUAGAGAUGUGGAGGAACACCAGUGGCGAAGGCGGCUCUCUGGUCUGUAACUGACGCUGAGGCGCGAAAGCGUGGGGAGCGAACAGG
RNAcentral lists this ribosomal RNA (253 nucleotides) under uncultured bacterium. RNAcentral describes it as "partial 16S ribosomal RNA". It matches the Rfam family "Bacterial small subunit ribosomal RNA", at positions 524 to 776 of the family's 1533-position model. The record is from RNAcentral.